GAUGAACGCUGGCGGCGUGCCUAAUACAUGCAAGUCGAGCGAACAGACGAGGAGCUUGCUCCGCUGACGUUAGCGGCGGACGGGUGAGUAACACGUGGAUAACCUACCUAUAAGACUGGGAUAACUUCGGGAAACCGGAGCUAAUACCGGAUAAUAUAUUGAACCGCAUGGUUCAAUAGUGAAAGAGGGUUUUGCUGUUGCUUAUAGAUGGAUCCGCGCCGCAUUAGCUAGUUGGUAAGGUAACGGCCUACCAAGGCAACGAUGCGUAGCCGACCUGAGAGGGUGAUCGGCCACACUGGAACUGAGACACGGUCCAGACUCCUACGGGAGGCAGCAGUAGGGAAUCUUCGGCAAUGGGCGAAAGCCUGACGGAGCAACGCCGCGUGAGUGAUGAAGGUCUUCGGAUCGUAAAGCUCUGUUAUUAGGGAAGAACAAAUGUGUAAGUAACUAUGCACGUCUUGACGGUACCUAAUCAGAAAGCCACGGCUAACUACGUG
RNAcentral lists this ribosomal RNA (497 nucleotides) under uncultured bacterium. RNAcentral describes it as "partial 16S ribosomal RNA". It matches the Rfam family "Bacterial small subunit ribosomal RNA", at positions 28 to 507 of the family's 1533-position model. The record is from RNAcentral.